UUGUAAAGCUCUUUUGUGCGGGAAGAAAGCGUCCGGGCUUCAUACCCUGGGAGGAUGACGGUACCGUGGGAAUAAGCGCCGGCAAAAUUCGUGCCAGCAGCCGCGGUAAU
This 110-nucleotide ribosomal RNA is filed under the name uncultured bacterium. RNAcentral's name for it is "partial 16S ribosomal RNA". The record is from RNAcentral.